Molecule: ribosomal RNA, 519 nt
Filed under: uncultured eukaryote
Lineage: Eukaryota
Description: SSU rRNA
Rfam family: Eukaryotic small subunit ribosomal RNA
Source: RNAcentral
GAUUAAGCCAUGCAUGUCUAAGUAUAAACAACUUUAUACUGUGAAACUGCGAACGGCUCAUUAUAUCAGCAAUAAUUUAUUUGAUGGUUCCUUACUACACGGAUAACUGUAGUAAUUCUAGAGCUAAUACGUGCGUAAAAUCCCGACUCUUGCGGGGAGGGAUGUAUUUAUUAGAUAAAAAGCCAGCGCGGGUUCUGCCCGGUUUUGUGGUGAAUCAUAGUAACUUUUCGAAUCGCAUGGCUUCACGCCGGCGAUAGUUCAUUCAAAUUUCUGCCCUAUCAGCUUUCGACGGUAGUGUAGUGGACUACCGUGGCAUUAACGGGUAACGGAGAAUUAGGGUUCGAUUCCGGAGAGGGAGCCUGAGAAACGGCUACCACAUCCAAGGAAGGCAGCAGGCGCGCAAAUUACCCAAUUCUGACACAGAGAGGUAGUGACAAAAAAUAACAAUACCUGGCUUCUUUAGGUCGGGUAAUUGCAAUGAGUACAAUUUAAAUCCCUUAACGAGGAUCCAUUGGAGGG